Molecule: non-coding RNA, 345 nt
Organism: Pelobates cultripes (western spadefoot toad)
Lineage: Eukaryota; Metazoa; Chordata; Amphibia; Anura; Pelobatidae
Source: the annotation of a GenBank genome assembly
CCUUAACCACUUGUAGAGGUAUACUGAGAUAUCGCUACACACCAAGGUUCAGAGCUACCGACGAGCUUGAACCUACCAAACCAAUGCAAACAUAAACCAUUGUUCCUGAACUAGAACUUCCACCCACUAAACAAGCCAACCUACUCCAUGGGGCUGCUCCCUGACUCCCACCGUGUGUCACAAGCUGUAUCCACAAGUGAUCCAAUGUCCUGGAGUACUUGCAGGCCUGCAGCCUCCUGUUUUUGAUGUCUGAAAAAGGAGAAGACUGUAACGGAUCACCUGGCACCCCCGACUGGGUACCUCCGUUGAAGGAUGCUCCUAGCGCUUCCUGAAGACUCCAAGCAC